Molecule: ribosomal RNA, 253 nt
Filed under: uncultured bacterium
Lineage: Bacteria
Description: partial 16S ribosomal RNA
Rfam family: Bacterial small subunit ribosomal RNA
Source: RNAcentral
UACGUAGGUGGCAAGCGUUGUCCGGAAUUAUUGGGCGUAAAGCGCGCGCAGGUGGUUUCUUAAGUCUGAUGUGAAAGCCCACGGCUCAACCGUGGAGGGUCAUUGGAAACUGGGGAACUUGAGUGCAGGAGAGAAGAGUGGAAUUCCACGUGUAGCGGUGAAAUGCGUAGAUAUCUGGAGGAACACCGGUGGCGAAGGCGGCAUCCUGGACCAAUACUGACACUGAGGAGCGAAAGCCAGGGGAGCAAACGGG